CAGCAGCCACGGUAAUCCGUAGGUCCCGAGCGCUGUCCGGAUUUAUUGGGCGUAAAGGGAGCGCAGGCGGUUUAGUAAGUCUGAAGUUAAAGGCAUUGGCUCAACCAAUGUAUGCUUUGGAAACUGUUAGACUUGAGUGCAGAAGGGGAGAGUGGAAUUCCAUGUGUAGCGGUGAAAUGCGUAGAUAUAUGGAGGAACACCGGUGGCGAAAGCGGCUCUCUGGCUUGUAACUGACGCUGAGGCUCGAAAGCGUGGGGAGCAAACAGGAUUAGAUACCCGUGUAGUCCCUGUCUCUUAUACA
This 301-nucleotide ribosomal RNA is filed under the name uncultured bacterium. Its description in RNAcentral is "partial 16S ribosomal RNA". It matches the Rfam family "Bacterial small subunit ribosomal RNA", at positions 509 to 808 of the family's 1533-position model. The record is from RNAcentral.